CCCUCCGUAGGGGGAACCUGCGGAGGGAUCAUUACAAGUGACCCCGGCUCGGCCGGGAUGUUCAUAACCCUUUGUUGUCCGACUCUGUUGCCUCCGGGGCGACCCCGCCUUCGGGCGGGGGCUCCGGGUGGACACUUCAAACUCUUGCGUAACUUUGCAGUCUGAGUAAACUUAAUUAAUAAAUUAAAACUUUUAACAACGGAUCUCUUGGUUCUGGCAUCGAUGAAGAACGCAGCGAAAUGCGAUAAGUAAUGUGAAUUGCAGAAUUCAGUGAAUCAUCGAAUCUUUGAACGCACAUUGCGCCCCCUGGUAUUCCGGGGGGCAUGCCUGUUCGAGCGUCAUUUCACCACUCAAGCCUCGCUUGGUAUUGGGCAACGCGGUCCGCCGCGUGCCUCAAAUCGUCCGGCUGGGUCUUCUGUCCCCUAAGCGUUGUGGAAACUAUUCGCUAAAGGGUGUUCGGGAGGCUACGCCGUAAAACAACCCCAUUUCUAAGGUUGACCUCGGAUCAGGUAGGGAUACCCGCUGAACUUAAGCAUAUCAAUAAGCGGAGGAA
This 553-nucleotide ribosomal RNA is filed under the name Cladosporium cladosporioides. RNAcentral describes it as "eukaryotic LSU rRNA". The stretch from base 188 to 341 matches the Rfam family "5.8S ribosomal RNA". The record is from RNAcentral. Lineage: Eukaryota; Fungi; Ascomycota; Dothideomycetes; Cladosporiales; Cladosporiaceae.